UGAAAUAACUAAUUUAAAGCUUCUAACUUUAAGAUUAAUGAAUAAACUUCAUUUUAUUUCU
Molecule: transfer RNA, 61 nt
Filed under: Polistes jokahamae
Lineage: Eukaryota; Metazoa; Arthropoda; Insecta; Hymenoptera; Vespidae
Description: tRNA-Ser
Source: RNAcentral